GAUGAACGCUGGCGGCGUGCUAAUACAUGCAAGUCGAGCGAACAGAUAAGGAGCUUGCUCCUUUGACGUUAGCGGCGGACGGGUGAGUAACACGUGGAUAACCUACCUAUAAGACUGGGAUAACUUCGGGAAACCGGAGCUAAUACCGGAUAAGAUUUUGAACCGCAUGGUUCAAUAGUGAAAGACGGCCUUGCUGUCACUUAUAGAUGGAUCCGCGCCGUAUUAGCUAGUUGGUAAGGUAACGGCUUACCAAGGCAACGAUACGUAGCCGACCUGAGAGGGUGAUCGGCCACACUGGAACUGAGACACGGUCCAGACUCCUACGGGAGGCAGCAGUAGGGAAUCUUCCGCAAUGGGCGAAAGCCUGACGGAGCAACGCCGCGUGAGUGAUGAAGGUCUUCGGAUCGUAAAACUCUGUUAUCAGGGAAGAACAAACGUGUAAGUAACUGUGCACGUCUUGACGGUACCUGAUCAGAAAGCCACGGCUAACUACGUGCCAGCAGCCGCGGUAAUACGUAGGGCGCAAGCGUUGUCCGGAAUUAUUGGGCGUAAAGAGCUCGUAGGCGGUCUGUCGCGUCUGCUGUGAAAUCCCGAGGCUCAACCUCGGGCUUGCAGUGGGUACGGGCAGACUAGAGUGCGGUAGGGGAGAAUGGAAUUCCUGGUGUAGCGGUGGAAUGCGCAGAUAUCAGGAGGAACACCGAUGGCGAAGGCAGUUCUCUGGGCCGUAACUGACGCUGAGGAGCGAAAGCGUGGGGAGCGAACAGG
Molecule: ribosomal RNA, 765 nt
Filed under: uncultured Staphylococcus sp.
Lineage: Bacteria; Bacillati; Bacillota; Bacilli; Caryophanales; Staphylococcaceae
Description: bacterial SSU rRNA
Rfam family: Bacterial small subunit ribosomal RNA
Source: RNAcentral